CCUUACCAAACGGACACAUGCCCGACCCCUACCCCGGGCACAGCUGACUGGACCAGCCGUGGAUGCCUGGCUCAGUCCAGGCCAGUCACGUUCUCCGUCCUGGGGACAAGUUAGCUGCAGGCACUGCACGUCAAGCUGUGUUUGAGAGGAGGAGGCCUGUGGGGGCCCCGUCUGGAGCAGGGGAGCAGGCAUGGAUGGAAAUGAAGCAGGGAGGCCCUCUCAGAGAGGAAAGAAGGCGGCUGCAGACAAGUAGAGAAGCAGGGUCAUCAGCCUUGGCAGCUUCUGGCCCUACACGUAUAAAACAGCCUGCUCAUCAAACAAUUCUCGACCUGCACCAGGGUUAGCACCCCUCACCCCUCACCCUACCUGCUCCCCGGAGGAGAAAGAACAACAGACGAAAAUAACCACGAUGUUGACAGAAUGGAACUUGAUAGUGUACAAUUGUAAAACAACUUCCAUUUUUUUCUCUCUCUCAGGACUGUCUGACAAAUCCAGUCUAUCAACCCUGUCUCCCCACCCACAGAUGGUAUCUCAGGCAGGUCCCUCCAUUUCUUGUCACUUUCAGGAAAUUAAAACCCCUUUGGUCACUGCUA
This is a long non-coding RNA of Prionailurus viverrinus (fishing cat), 593 nucleotides long. RefSeq lists it as uncharacterized. The transcript is spliced from 2 exons. NCBI's taxonomy places the organism in Eukaryota, Metazoa, Chordata, Mammalia, Carnivora, Felidae. The record is from RefSeq and is a predicted model, not a curated record.